UGGGGAGGGGGGGAGGCCGGGGGGCGGGGGGGAAGGAGGAGGAGGGAGGAAUGCUGAGCGAGGAGACGGGCGAGAGACAGCCCUCACACACACGGCGCAAGAUGGCCGGAGAGGCAGCAGCAGCGGCGGCGGCGGCCCCCGACCUGUCAGCCCGGCGCCCCGCCGGACCCGCUCGGCCGCAGGGGCGGGGGCCGCCGGAGCCGGGCCUGCCCGCGGGAGGGAACCGUCCGGAGCCGCCGCUUCGCUUGGGGCUCCCGGACCCGCCGCCGCCUUCUUCUCGGGAGCGGGUAAUUUAAGAACAAAUUAACUCGGAGAUGACUAUGUUCCUGAAGAAAUCUACGGAACUGAUUUAGAUGAGGUUCAUCUUCCUGCAUUCCUGAAGGUUGGCUGAAAAAUCACCAAUUCAGUUUAGAAGAAUUCUGUAUCUAAAUGCAGCAGAAAUAAACCAUUUUGGGAUUGAGCUAUGUGACUGCCUAGAAGCUAUUUGAAGCAUUUAGCACGGUCAGCUUGAUGAACCGCAAAUGGAGCCCACCACUGAGAAAUCAAGAUGGCAUUCCACUGUUGAUUGGGAGUUAAGGAAAAUGAAUUAAUGCAUGUGUUGCUGGGAUAAAUCCAACCAAAACAGGGAUAUUUUAAGAUGGACUUCAUGAAAGCAGUGAAGAUGAUAGGUGGUCUGACCAUCUUUUAAAAAUGGAUAAUGGACUUUUAUGGCCUAAGGACUUAUGUCACUAAACCGAAGAUGGGACAUGGCACUUUGGAGAAUCAUUUUCAUGUACAGAUUCAACUUUACAGAAUGUAAACCUAACUAGAAUAUGCAGUCGAUGUGACUUGUUCUUUGCUUUUCUCUGUGUUUGUAUAAAAAAUGUACUCUUACAUUUUGCGAUUCCUAGUAAUUCAUUGAAUAAAAACCUAUUUUUUUUUUACA
Molecule: long non-coding RNA, 925 nt
Organism: Ornithorhynchus anatinus (platypus)
Lineage: Eukaryota; Metazoa; Chordata; Mammalia; Monotremata; Ornithorhynchidae
Exons: 5
Source: RefSeq, a predicted model, not a curated record